Molecule: long non-coding RNA, 9367 nt
Organism: Trifolium pratense (red clover)
Lineage: Eukaryota; Viridiplantae; Streptophyta; Magnoliopsida; Fabales; Fabaceae
Exons: 3
Source: RefSeq, a predicted model, not a curated record
AACAUUCUAUUUCUAUUCUCUCUCAUAGAUUGAUUGAAUUCUUUUGUUGAUCAAAGCUCUCUCUAAGUUUCUAUUUCUAUUCUCUCAAUAGUUUCUAUUUCGCUCGCUAUUUCGAUCAAAGCUGAUCUCACUUUAUCUUUCUAUUCUCUCAAUAGAUUGAUUCAUUGAUUGAUUUCGCUCGUUGUUUCUUUUGUUCAUUGAUUUCGCCCUAAUCAAAUCUCCCUCUCACUUUCCUUACCAACCGCUCCAUGGAUUCACCGCCGUGUACUCCUCCGAUCACCACACCUCGUACUCCAAUUUCGCCAUCCACACCUCGUACUCCGAUCACCACUCCUCCUCGUACUCCGAUUUCUCCAUCCACACCUCGUACUCCGCCGCUUUCAUCAUCGUCCCUGGCGGUGGUAGUAACUCCUUCACCUCCUCGUGCACCGAUGAAGCAAGGAAAGAUAUAUUCUACCCCGAUGCUACACUUGAUGGAUAAAAUCAUUCAAGAGGGAGAAUUGUUGUUGGUUGAGUAUCGAAGGAAUCAGAACACCGCUGAAGCCAGGGAAAACGAAAGAAAAAGAAAAAUACGUAUUUUGAUGUCACUUCGAUGAUGAUUCCUUUCUAUAUGAAAAUGGGUGAGUGAAAAGGUAAGAGGUUUAUUAUGAAAUUGUGAAAUUGAUCUGUUAGAGAUUUAUUAUGAAAAGGUAAGAGGUUUAUUAUGAAAAGGUAAAAGGUAGGUUAUGUUAUUUUCUUUAAAAAUAUUAUUUUGAAUCCAUAAUCUGUUAGGAGUGUCUUUGCAGGUACAUCAACAUUCCUAUGCUUGUAAGUAAGAUAUUAAUUUGUUUUUGCCUCUUUUGAUUUAGUUUUUACUUUUUAUAGUAUGGAAAAAUGGUAAGGAAAAGGGUAAGAAUUUCCAUUUUUUUUCCAUUGCUAUUUUGUUAUUAUGAAAUUCUGAUGUUCUGAGGUAGGUAGGUGUUGCUAGUCAGUGUUGAACCAAAACAGGAGAAAAAGGGUUGCUACUCAAUCAGGUAAAGUAUGUGUUUUAUUUAGUAUGUGUUUUUUUAGUAGAAGUAGAAGUUACUAACUAUGAUUGGUUUUAUUUUCCUUUUACACAAACUUGCCAUACAAGUCAGUGUUUCCAUUAAAUAAAUAGACUUUAUCCAGAAUUCCUAAAUAAACUUGCCAUACAUCGCUUACAUAUGUUCUUGCUUCAAUAUCACAUACCUAUCCCUUGUUUGUCAAACCACUGUUCUCAAUGGUAUUUCUUUCUUCCUCAAUUAAAAUUUAAUUAUUUUCUCUCAACAUAUUGUAUAAUCAUGUUGGCAAUAUCCAGAAGUAACUAAAAAUAGAAUGACAUUUAGUAUAUCUGUUGUUGAGUAGGACUUCCUUAAUCUGUGUUGUUUAUUUUCCUUUUCAAGCAACUUACCACUUAUAACAACGUUUAUUGCUAAUUCGGUAUUUAGUUUUAGCCUAGAAAAAAGUAGCUCUUACUCUUAAUAACGAAUAGUUUUCUCUCCUCUACAAGAUUAAUGCAUGUAUGUAACCUUUUCUUGAAAUAGGAUGAGGCUGAUUCCUUGUUAUUUACUAAUUUUUCGAUGAUACUAACAUUCUGAUGGAAUCAGGUACAUGUGUGACUGGUUCUGGUCAUGCAGAGAAUGUUAAACAUGUAUCCUUAAAAGUGUGCUUCAGUUCAGCAAAUGCAGGUUUGGGUAAGUGGUUGGUGCUUUAUCAUGACGGUUGAUGCUUAUGCCUUUAUCACUUAAAUGAGCCUGAGGUGGCAAAAUGUGAAAAAGGGUUGGCAUUAUUGCGGCUGAGCUGGAUGGUGGCCAGACAAAGUGGAGGAUGCUGAGUGCGAUUUUAAUGGAUAUAUGUUUUCUAUGAGGAAUUAUGCAGGAAAUGAAGAGUCAUCUGUUGCUUUGUUCACCAAAGGUGACGGGUGCUAAGUGGGAAUUCUGUCAAGAUUUUAUGUCUUGACUAUGUUUGGAUUUGUUGCUAUCACGGAGGCAGGGCAGGUAUGAAUGUUGAAUCAACGAGGCUCGUUCAAAAUUAUAGAAAGGUGGUAUGGUGCUUUUUGGUGAUUGUUUUGUUUUGAACUGUUUUGGUCGAGGAAUUUUAUCUUGCAGUACAUGUACAUUAUACUGUUUUUGGUUGCAGAAGGAUUUCAUAUCAGGUAUGAGAGAGCAGAAUAGUGGAAAGAAGGAGCUUUGCUGGCAAAGUUACAUAUUUGUGGUAGCAACAAAUGGAGGAAGAAUAGUGGAAAGAAGAACUAUCGAGAUCCGGAAGGCGACAAUACCGAUUCUAGCUUGAAAUCAGAUUGUCCACCAUGUCAUCAUUGUGGAAGAAAAGGUAAUGCUCCUCUAAGAUCUUGGAUAAGGCCAGAUGUGAAGUGUAACAAAUACAACCGCUUGGGUCAUAUUUCAAAGAUCUACAAAUUCCAACUGGAAAAGAAGCAAGAAGAAACUCAGAUUGUAGAUCAAGAUUAUCAACACAGGUGAAAGUUGGUUAAUUGAUAAUGGAUGCACUAAUCACAUGCCAUAUGAUAUUGAGCUUUUCAAAGAUUUCAACAAGGAUUCUGUUUCAAAAGUUAAGAUUGGUAAUGGUUAAUUUGUUGAUGUCAAAUGAAGAGGAUCAAUUGUAGCACAGUUGCUUGAAAAGGGGUUCAUACUUAUCUUUGAGAAUUGUUCAGAAUACCAAUGUAGGUUAAAAGUUUUUCUUUGGGCUUUUUGCAAUGUAAGGAAGCUGCUGUUGUAAAAUCAAUUUCUGAUACUGAAUUUUGUACUAUACUUGGAUAAAAACAAUCUAGCAGAAGGUAUACUAGCAUUGGAGAAAAACAUGACUAAUUUUGCUCCUCACCAGAUUGUUAUGUUCACGAUCAGAGCAAUAGGUAGAUUGCAGUUGAUACAUACAGAUCUUAGAGGAUCUUUGUCAGAAGCAUCAUUGGAUGGACCAUAUAUUACAUACAGAUCUUAGAGGAUCUUUGUCAGAAGGAUCUUUGUAAAUUCAAAAGAUGGGUUGAAAAUCAGAGUGAAUGCAAAAUUUAAAUGUUAAGAUCAGAUAAUGAAGGUCAAUGCACCUCAGAAAAAUUCAAUAAGCUUUAUGAGGAGGCUGGAAACAUUAUGGUGCGUGUGCUGGUGAAAGGAAGUAUAGGACUGUGAUGGAAAUGGUUAGCUGCUUGCUAUAUGAGAAAAAUAUCUCUUCAGAAGUUUUGGGCAGAAGCUGCAACAAGUCUGAUGAAAAACUCCAUUUGAAGGAUGGUGUUUGGCUGUGUUUGCUUCAGUCAUGUGACACUAGUACAUCUGAUAAGUUUUAUAAAAGGUUUGAGGCUGAAAUAUUCUUAGGCUACCACAAUGUCUCUAUAGCCUAUAGAACCCUUUCAGCCAAAGUCAGAAAAAAUCUUCAUAAGUAGAAAUGUUCGUUUUGAGGAGGAGCAAGAAUGCAACUGGGAAGAAGAAAAACCAUGCAAGUAAAAUGGCAAAAAAUUGAAGAAUCUCCAGAAUUACUAUUUCAGGAAGAUCACGUCUCUCCACUAGAUCAUGAGAACAUUGAUGAUGCACAAGUACAAGAUUACUUGUUGAUAUUUAUGAUAGGUGCAGUUUUGCUGAUAUUCUUGGUGCUAAAAAAAGCAGGAAAUUGUUGCUCAGUCCGCCGCAGAGGUUGAAUUCAUAGCCAAUUUAGGAAGUUGUUAAAAGAUGUUCAAGAGGAGCAGAGGCAAAGUACUAAGAAUCUAGUGUUUCAUGGAAAGACCCUGAAUUUAAUGUGAAGUUGUACUUUCUGAGGAUGAAAUCUCAAAUCUCGUUACAAUCUUGGAAUAAAGAUCAGAGUAGAUAUUUUUACAAAGCCGCUUUCUAAAAGAAAGUUUGAAGUCUUGCAUAAAGAUCAGAGUCUACAGCUAUUAAAGCAAGGAGUAGUAUUGAGAUAAUGCUUCAACAUAUAUCCUCAUUGAUAAGAUCUAGAAACAGUUUGUUGGUCUUAUCUUUUAAUUAAAUUAGGAUGCUUUCUGUUCUGUUUUAGUAGAUUUAGUAUUUUGUUAGUGAGAGGUUUAAAUGUUAUUUAUUUAUUUUUUUUGGUAAGAAAUUAUAUUUUAGGAUAUUUAUCUGUAAUCAAUUUUUGUAUUUAAAGAAGCUUCAGAUCAAUUUUAGUAGAGUUUUUUUGUCUUAAUGUCCUGUUUGGAUCAUUGCUUAAAGGACUUAUCAGUGCUUCUCUUUUAGAUCAAGCACGGAUGCUUGUUAAAAAUAUAGUGUUUGGUUGAAUUUUCUUUAUCUGCUGUGACUUUACAAAAAGAUUUGAGAAGAACUUAUUAUGAUCUUAAACAGAAAACGUCUCUCCUUUCAAACUAAAAAAUGAAUUUACUAAAUUUGAAAGAAUGUCCCAUUCCAAUCCUAUCUGAAUCGUGUUCCCUUGCAGACAGACAGACUGAAGUUCGACUGUUACUAUUCCUUUUGCAAUUCUGCUCACUCUCCGGUAUGACUGAAUUCACUAAUUUGUUUUUAUUAGUUUCAUUUUUUGGUGACUUAAUUGUUUGUGUAUAUACUCAGGAUUGUGCUUCUCUGGAUGUUGUCUUGAGGCAUAAGGGGGAAUUGAAUGCUCUUGUUUUUAUUUUUCAAACACUUGAUGCAUGAUGUUAGAAUAUGAAACAAUCGAUUUCUUUGGAGCAGAUACUAGUACUUGGUCUUUAACAAUCACUUGAUGCAUGAUGUUAGAAUAGGAAUUGAAUGUUCUGAAAAGUUCCAUUUUGCAUGAUUUCUCUUUGAGUUUUGAUCCAUUGAGGUAAGGUUAGUAAUGUUUUUGUCUAAUUUUAUCGGACACUUUUACCAUUAAUUAGUAAUUUACAUGUAUCUUCAAUAAUUAGAUGGACUUUUUUUUUAAUUGAGUUUAACUUUAAUGUUUGCAAGUCCUGGAAGUCAGAGCAAUGGGGAUACAAGUAUUUCAGAAACAAAUGAAUUCUGAAUUUGAAUUGUUUGGAACUGAUGAGGUGCUGCUCAGCAUGAUAAUUUUACUACCAAUGAUGCCCUGAUGAUGGCAGAUUCUGCAACUGAGAAUCACACUGUCGAAAGUUUAGAUACUUAUUUCAUAAGUUAGUUUGUUAUUGAGGAAAAAUCAAUUAUUGAAACUCAGGACUAAUCGACCCAAAAAGUGGUCAAGCCACUGAAAGGAAGAUGAUGAAAUUAAACCUGUUAAUUCAAUUGCAAGUUCAAACCACUUGAUUGUGUUAUGGUGAUUUGAGUUAGAUUGAUUCUCAAUGUCAGAAUUCAUAACUAAGAUCAAUUACCAACUACAUGGUGUCUGGAGCAAUGGGAGCUCCAUUAUUAUUAUUAUUAUUAUUGUACCCCGAUGCUACAGUUGAUGGAUAAAAUCAUUCAAGAGGGAGAAUUGUUGUUGCUUGAGUAUCGAAGGAAUCAGAACACUGCUGAAGCCAGGGAAAACGAAAGAAAAAGAAAAAUACGUAUUUUGAUGUCACUUCGAUGAUCAUUCCUUUCUAUAUGAAAAUGGGUAACUGAAAAGGUAAGAGCUUUAUUAUGAAAUUGUGAAAUUAGUCUGUUAGAGGUAGGUUAUGUUAUUUUCUGUUACGUGAGUGUCUUUGCAGGUACAUCAACAUUCCUAUUCUUGUCAGUAAGAUAUUAAUUUCUUUUUGCCUCUUUUGAUUUAGUUUUUACUUUUUAUAGUAUGGAAAAAUGGUAAGGAAAAGGGUAAGAAAUUCCAUUUUUUUCCAUUGCUAUUUUGUUAUUAUGAAAUUGUGAUGUUCUGAGGUAGGUAGGUAUUGCUAGUCAAUGCUGAACCAAAACAGGAGAAAAAGGGUUGCUACUCAAUCAGGUAAAGUAUGUGUUUUUUUAGUAGAAGUAGAACUUCCUAACUAUGAUUGGUUUUAUUUUCCUUUUUCACAAACUUGCCAUACAAGUCAGUGUUUCCAUUAAAUAAAUAGACUUAUCCUGAAUUCCUGAUUUAUUAUUUAAGUUCUCAAUGGGAUACAUUGCUUACAUAUGUUCUUGCUUCAGUAUCACAUCCCUAUCCCUUGUUUGUCAAACCAGUGUUCUCAAUGGUAUUUAUUUCUUCCUCAAUUAAAAUUUAAUUAUUUUCUCUCAACAUAUUAUAUAAAUUCUUUCUAUGUUUUUUGUCCUUGUUUGUAUAAUCAUGUUGGCAAUAUCCAGAAGUAACUAAAAAUAGAAUGACAUUUAGUAUAUCUGUUGUUGAGUAGGACUUCCUUAAUCUGUGUUGUUUAUUUUCCUUUUCAAGCAACUUACCACUUAUAACAACGUUUAUUGCUAAUUCGGUAUUUAGUUUUAGCCUAGAAAAAAGUAACUCUUACUCUUAAUAACGAAUAGUUUUCUCUCCUCUACAAGAUUAAUGCAUGUAUGUAACCUUUUCUUGAAAUAGGAUGAGGCUGAUUCCUUGUUAUUUACUAAUUUUUCGAUGAUACUAACAUUCUGAUGGAAUCAGGUACAUGUGUGACUGGUUCUGGUCAUGCAGAGAAUAUUAAACAUGUAUCCUUAAAAGUGUGCUUCAGUUCAGCAAAUGCAGGUUUGGGUAAGUGGUUGGUGCUUUAUCAUGACGGUUGAUGCUUAUGCCUUUAUCACUUAAAUGAGCCUGAGGUGGCAAAAUGUGAAAAAAGGUUGGCAUUAUUGCGGCUGAGCUGGAUGGUGGCCAGACAAAGUGGAGGAUGCUGAGUGCGAUUUUAAUGGAUAUAUGUUUUCUAUGAGGAAUUAUGCAGGAAAUGAAGAGUCAUCUGUUGCUUUGUUCACCAAAGGUGACGGGUGCUAAGUGGGAAUUCUGUCAAGAUUUUAUGUCUUGACUAUGUUUGGAUUUGUUGCUAUCACGGAGGCAGGGCAAGUUUGAAUGUUGAAUCGACGAGGCUCGUUCAAAAUUAUAGAGAGGUGGUAUGGAAGGAGAGAAGUAGUUGUAAGGAAAAAUUGCACAAAAAAACAAAAUAGAUGUUGGCUGCUUUGACAGCAUUACUAGAUGGGGGAUCAUGGUCCGGAACCAUGUAGGAGCUAUCAGUUGCUACCAAUCCAUAAAGAAUCAGAGUACAUCCAACCAUAGUGGAUGCCAUGGGAAUUAGUUGAGGUCUCUGCUGGGCCAAGGACCAGGGUAUUUGAAUUGUCUCUAGGGUUAAAAACCUUGCUUGAAAUAGCUGUUUUGGUGUAAUACAUCGGGUUAGUUGAUUGAAAUUUCUGUUUGUUCUUAUUUAAGCAAGUAAAACUGAAAGAGGGUUAGGAAUUGAAUGCUCUUGUUUUUAUUUUUCAAACACUUGAUGCAUGAUGUUAGAAUAGGAAACAAUCGCUUUCUUUGGAGCAGAUACUAGUACUUGGUCUUUAACAAUCACCUGAUGCACGAUGUUAGAAUAGAAAUUGAAUGUUCUGAAAAGUUCCAUUUUUCAGGAUUUCUCUUUUGAUUUUGGAUCCAUUGAGGUAAUGUUAGUAAUUAAUGUUUAUGUCUAAUUUUAUCGGACACUUUUAUCAUUAAUUAGUAUUUUACAUGUAUCUUCAACGGUUAGAUGGACUUUUUUUAAUUGAGUUUAAUUUUAAUGUUUGUAAGUCAUGGAAGUCAGAGCAAUGUGUUUUAGAAACAAAUGAGUUCUGAAUUUGAAUUGCUUGGAACUGAUGAAAUGCUACCUAUUCUGACGAUGGCAGCUUCUGCAACUGAUAAUCACACUGUCGAAAGUUUUGAUACUUAUUUCAUAUUUCAUUAGUUAGUCUGUUAUUGAGGAAAAACCAACAAUUGAAACUCAGGACUAAUCAAUCCAAAAAGUGGUCAAGCCAUUGAAAGGAAGAUGAUGAGAUUAAACCUGUUAAUUCAAUUGCAAGUUCAAACCACUUGAUUGUGUUAUGGUGAUUUGAGUUAGAACAAUAUUGUUAUGCACUAAUUUUGCUUUCCAGACCUAAUGUUCUAGUCUAGAACAAUAUUGUUAUGCAUUCUCUUUUUAUUUCUGUUUUGUAAUAAUCUCAUAAUACUAAAUAUCAUCGUUGAAUGAAGUCUUGUUUAUGUCCUUCAUCUCAAUUGUUAGACAAUUCAAGCUAUCACAAAUACUUCAUCAGUUGUACUUAUGCACACCCUUAACUGUUUGUAUAUGAUGUGCAGAUAAGUAUGAUGUUGUAUAAGUAGCUGCAUAAGUAUGGACCAAAUAUGAGGUAUGUCAAACUGUGAUUUUCAAAGUAGUACUUGCACAUAUAUCUGAUGGACUCUUAUUUCAAAAACAAAGAACCAGAAGCAGGAUUCACAGUCACAACAUUCACUGUACUAGACCUCUAUUAGGUAGUGUAUGUUUUAGUAUUUUCAUUGGUGUUCCGCUUAUAUACGGCGCCAUUGUUUGUAGCUCCGUUUUUUGCCGGUCUUUGUUCUUCUUGUACAGAGAUCUGGAUAUUUAUAAUAAUAUAUUUGCCGUUAAAAAAAAAAAACAUUCACUGUACUUAGCAAAUGAAGUUUUCUUCGGUCUUUUCUUCUCCAUCGUGUACUUUCUUCUACACCGGCGGCAUGAGAAGAUCAAAACCUCCACAAAUUUCCACGUCCUCACAAUCUCCGAGAUUGUCGCUCUAGCUUCCCUCAUCGCUUCUGUUAUCUACCUUAUGGCUUUCUUCAGCAUUGCAUUUAUUCUUCAUUAUGAUGAAGAAGAUGAUGCUGACGUAACAGAAACUACCGGAGUCGUGUCGAAGCUACCUCUGUUAGACUGUUACAACCUAAAAUCUCUAUCCAUAAAGUUGCUCUGGUGCGGUGCCUGCACUGCUUUCAUAUAAGAUGAGGAGGUUGUCCGAGAGGUGGUAUCGGGAUCAAUUCCGUCUUACUCUCUUAAAUCAAAGCUUGGAGAUUGCGUGAUUCGGAACCAAGCGGUGGAGAUUAUUGGCUACAGGUAAAGAUCCAGCUCAGAAUGUCGAGAGUUCUCAUUAUAUGACGGUGAUGGAAGCUGUGAAUGAUGGGAAGGUCCUUCAUAUAUCUGUGACUAUGCCUUCCAUUGAGGUGGGCACAGUUAGAGGGGCACACAACUUGCAUCACAAUCAGCUUGUUUGAAUUUACUUGGUGUUAAGGGUGCUAGUAAAGAGACUCCUGGAGCAAAUUCAAGGCAACUGGCGACAAUAGUAGCUGCGUUAGUCCUUGCCGGAGAGCUCUCACUCAUGUCUGCAAUUGCUGCUUGACAACUUGUUAAGAGCCACAUGAAAUACAUCAGAUCGCCUAAAGAUGUCACUAAAGUUUCUUCAUGAGUUGGUAGGGACAUAUAUAGCCUGCAAAGAAUACUUCAUUAAGAUAUGGUUUAUGUACAGAAGGAAUUAAAUAAGAUUUGUUCCAUUCCUCUUAUUUGUUUUUCAAAACAAAAUAUCAUUAGUGUUGUAGUAUUUCUCAAUUCUCAUAUAAAGCUCAAAUAUGUGGUACUACUUUAGUCUUUUGAUCUUUGAUU